Molecule: ribosomal RNA, 370 nt
Filed under: uncultured organism
Description: bacterial SSU rRNA
Rfam family: Bacterial small subunit ribosomal RNA
Source: RNAcentral
CGAGAGGCCCAAACGUUAUUCGGAUUUACUGGGCUUAAAGAGUUCGUAGGCGGUGCGGUAAGUGGGGUGUGAAAGCCCUCGGCUCAACCGAGGAAUUGCGCUCCAAACUACCACACUCGAGGGAGAUAGAGGUGAGCAGAACUGAUGGUGGAGCGGUGAAAUGCGUUGAUAUCAUCAGGAAUACCGGAGGCGAAGGCGGCUCACUGGGUCUCUUCUGACGCUGAGGAACGAAAGCUAGGGGAGCAAACGGGAUUAGAUACCCCGGUAGUCCUAGCCGUAAACGGUGAGCACUGGACCGGAGGGCUGCACAGCCUUUCGGUCGUAGCGAAAGUGUUAAGUGCUCCGCCUGGGGAGUAUGGUCGCAAGGCUG